GUGGCGAACGGGUGAGUAACACGUGAGCAACCUGCCCCUGACUCUGGGAUAAGCGCUGGAAACGGCGUCUAAUACUGGAUAUGUGACGUGACCGCAUGGUCUGCGUCUGGAAAGAAUUUCGGUUGGGGAUGGGCUCGCGGCCUAUCAGCUUGUUGGUGAGGUAAUGGCUCACCAAGGCGUCGACGGGUAGCCGGCCUGAGAGGGUGACCGGCCACACUGGGACUGAGACACGGCCCAGACUCCUACGGGAGGCAGCAGUGGGGAAUAUUGCACAAUGGGCGCAAGCCUGAUGCAGCAACGCCGCGUGAGGGACGACGGCCUUCGGGUUGUAAACCUCUUUUAGCAGGGAAGAAGCGAAAGUGACGGUACCUGCAGAAAAAGCGCCGGCUAACUACGUGCCAGCAGCCGCGGUAAUACGUAGGGCGCAAGCGUUAUCCGGAAUUAUUGGGCGUAAAGAGCUCGUAGGCGGUUUGUCGCGUCUGCUGUGAAAUCCGGAGGCUCAACCUCCGGCCUGCAGUGGGUACGGGCAGACUAGAGUGCGGUAGGGGAGAUUGGAAUUCCUGGUGUAGCGGUGGAAUGCGCAGAUAUCAGGAGGAACACCGAUGGCGAAGGCAGAUCUCUGGGCCGUAACUGACGCUGAGGAGCGAAAGGGUGGGGAGCAAACAGGCUUAGAUACCCUGGUAGUCCACCCCGUAAACGUUGGGAACUAGUUGUGGGGUCCAUUCCACGGAUUCCGUGACGCAGCUAACGCA
RNAcentral lists this ribosomal RNA (752 nucleotides) under Microbacterium sp. Its description in RNAcentral is "bacterial SSU rRNA". It matches the Rfam family "Bacterial small subunit ribosomal RNA", at positions 95 to 859 of the family's 1533-position model. Lineage: Bacteria; Bacillati; Actinomycetota; Actinomycetes; Micrococcales; Microbacteriaceae. The record is from RNAcentral.